Molecule: ribosomal RNA, 283 nt
Filed under: Staphylococcus aureus
Lineage: Bacteria; Bacillati; Bacillota; Bacilli; Caryophanales; Staphylococcaceae
Description: partial 16S ribosomal RNA
Rfam family: Bacterial small subunit ribosomal RNA
Source: RNAcentral
CCUUGAGGAGUGGCUUCCGGAGCUAACGCGUUAAGUCGACCGCCUGGGGAGUACGGCCGCAAGGUUAAAACUCAAAUGAAUUGACGGGGGCCCGCACAAGCGGUGGAGCAUGUGGUUUAAUUCGAUGCAACGCGAAGAACCUUACCUACUCUUGACAUCCAGAGAACUUAGCAGAGAUGCUUUGGUGCCUUCGGGAACUCUGAGACAGGUGCUGCAUGGCUGUCGUCAGCUCGUGUUGUGAAAUGUUGGGUUAAGUCCCGCAACGAGCGCAACCCUUAUCCUU